GUCAGGAUGGCCGAGCGGUCCAAGGCGCUGCGUUCAGGUCGCAGUCCGGUCUUGCGGGCGUGGUUUCGAAACCCACUUCUGACA
This 84-nucleotide transfer RNA is filed under the name Dermacentor silvarum. RNAcentral describes it as "transfer RNA leucine (anticodon CAG)". It matches the Rfam family "tRNA". From Rfam's summary of the family: Transfer RNA (tRNA) molecules are approximately 80 nucleotides in length. Lineage: Eukaryota; Metazoa; Arthropoda; Arachnida; Ixodida; Ixodidae. The record is from RNAcentral.